RNAcentral lists this ribosomal RNA (1454 nucleotides) under metagenome. Its description in RNAcentral is "SSU rRNA". It matches the Rfam family "Eukaryotic small subunit ribosomal RNA", at positions 1 to 1248 of the family's 1831-position model. The record is from RNAcentral.
UCUGGUUGAUCCUGCCAGUUGUCAUAUGCUUGUUUCAAAGACUAAGCCAUGCAAAUGUGAGAGUACUUGCGCCUUCGGGCGCUGAGGGGUCCGUGUACGGCUCAUUAAACGGUUUAUUGUCUACCCAACGGCGAAGCUGCUCGCAGCUUCCAACGGGAUAACUUUGCUAACUGCAAAGCUAAUACCUGUAAGAAGGACCUUGCACCGUCUCAACACUCCGAGGGCAACCAAAGGGUGUGGUGUGGGGUGCGAUUCGCCGGAACAAAAACCAACGCCCUCCCCGGGCAGUUGAUGUUGCUGAGGCAGGCGAACGAAGCGAAAGCGCCGCUUCUGGCGCGGUGUUGGACGAAUUUACCACCUAUCAGGUUGAAGGUAGUGUAGUGGACUACCUUGCCUCUGACGGGUAACGGAGAAUUGGGGUUCGAUUCCGGAGAGGGUGCCUGAGAAACGGCAACCAUGACUAUGGUCAGCAGCAGGCGCGCAAAUUGCCCAAUGCCAAUCGUGGCGAGGCAGCGACGAAAAAUAAUAACUCUGGUGCACUACGUGUGUCAGGGAUUGUAAUGGAUUGUACCUAUACCCACUGCUGAGAACCAAUUGGAGGGCAAGUCUGGUGCCAGCAGCCGCGGUAAUUCCAGCUCCAAGAGCGUAUAUAAAUGUUGUUGUGGUUAAAAAGCCCGUAGUUGGAUUUGAGGGUGCCGAUUGCGGAGGGGCCUGGGGCUGUCUCUUCGGAGGGGGCCUCGGAUCACCCCGCCGCGCAUAGUCGGUGCUCUGUCUUGAUGCGGGAACGAUCGUCGGCGGAAGCCUCCUUAAUUGGUGGUGGAAGCAACUCCGGAGCGUUUCACUCCAAAAGACGCGCCCGCAGACGUCACUGUGAGCAAAGCAGAGUGUUCAAGGCAACCGACUUGUUUGGUUGAAUGUUAAAGCAUGGAAUGACAAGGGAUCGACCACUGUGGGCCUCUUUUUGUUGGUUUUUAAGCCUCAGUGUGGUAAACAUGCGCAGGUGCUUCGGCGGGUUGCGUGUCUUCGGGCACCUGCCCGUUGAGCCCUCGUGCACAUGGGAUCAAUAGGAGCACAGGGGGCCAUGAGUAUUGGGGGGCUAGAGGUGAAAUUCUGAGACCCCUCCAAGACUGACAUCGGCGAAAGCACUUGGCUAUUGUGCUUUCAUUAAUCAAGGACGUGAGAUGGGGGAUCGAAGAGGAUUAGACACCCUCGUAGUCCCUUCUGUAAAUUCUGCAGACUUGGGAUCGGUCAGCGCUCUUUUUUCUGACCUGAUCGGCACCUUCCUCCUGAACUCGAGAAAUCAACAGAGUUUUUGUGUUCCGGGGGGAGUACAUUCGCAAGGCUGAAACUUAAAGGAAUUGACGGAGAACCACCACCAGUCGUGGAGUGUGUGGCUUAAUUCGACCCAACACGGGAAAUUUUACCAGGCCAGGACAUGGUCAGGAUUGCCAGAC